RNAcentral lists this ribosomal RNA (671 nucleotides) under uncultured bacterium. Its description in RNAcentral is "bacterial SSU rRNA". It matches the Rfam family "Bacterial small subunit ribosomal RNA", at positions 104 to 790 of the family's 1533-position model. The record is from RNAcentral.
GGGUGAGUAACACGUGGAUAAUCUGCCCUGCAGAGGGGGAUAACACAGGGAAACUUGUGCUAAUACCGCAUAUAAUGCCUUAGACGCAGGUUUAGGGUAUGAAAGAUUUAUCGCUGCAGGAUGAGUCCGCGGUCCAUUAGCUAGUUGGUGAGGUAAGGGCUUACCAAGGCGACGAUGGAUAGCCGGCCUGAGAGGGUGAACGGCCACACUGGGACUGAGACACGGCCCAGACUCCUACGGGAGGCAGCAGUGGGGAAUAUUGUACAAUGGGGGAAACCCUGAUACAGCGACGCCGCGUGAGUGACGAAGGCCUUCGGGUUGUAAAGCUCUGUCGUGAGAGACGAAGGAAGUGACGGUAUCUCACAAGAAAGCCCCGGCUAACUACGUGCCAGCAGCCGCGGUAAUACGUAGGGGGCGAGCGUUGUCCGGAGUGACUGGGCGUAAAGAGCACGUAGGCGGUUUGAUAUGUCUGAUGUGAAACACCUGGGCUUAACUCAGGUUCUGCAUCGGAAACUGUCAGACUUGAGUACAGGAGAGGAAAGCGGAAUUCCCAGUGUAGCGGUGAAAUGCGUAGAUAUUGGGAGGAACACCAGUGGCGAAGGCGGCUUUCUGGACUGGAACUGACGCUGAGGUGCGAGAGCUAGGGGAGCGAACAGGAUUAGAUACCCUGG